RNAcentral lists this ribosomal RNA (493 nucleotides) under uncultured bacterium. RNAcentral's name for it is "partial 16S ribosomal RNA". It matches the Rfam family "Bacterial small subunit ribosomal RNA", at positions 28 to 507 of the family's 1533-position model. The record is from RNAcentral.
GACGAACGCUGGCGGCGUGCCUAACACAUGCAAGUUGAGCGACGAACCAGGGCUUGCCCUGGGGCAAAGCAGCGAACGGGUGAGUAACACGUGGGUAACCUACCCCGAUAACCGGGACAACCCGAGGAAACUCGGGCUAAUACCGGAUGUGCUCACUGGACUUCGGUUCAGUGCGUAAAGGAAGCUUCGGCCUCCGUAUCGGGAGGGGCCCGCGGCCCAUUAGUUUGUUGGUGAGGUAACGGCUCACCAAGACCGCGAUGGGUAGCUGGUCUGAGAGGACGAUCAGCCACACGGGGACUGAGACACGGCCCAGACUCCUAAGGGAGGCAGCAGUGGGGAAUCUUGCGCAAUGCGGGAAAGCGUGGCGCAGCGACGCCGCGUGGGGGAAGAAGGCCUUCGGGUUGUAAACCCCUUUCAGGAGGGACGAAGGUUCGGCGGUGAAUAGCCGUCCGGACUGACGGUACCUCCACAAGAAGCCCCGGCUAACUACGUG